CCUCUCACAACAAUCUUCGUAACCCCCGGAAAAAUCUCCACCGUCUGCGCCCUCACAUCCUGCCCGAAAUCAUCAUCAGUCACGACAAUAAACCGCAGACAAUCCGAGGUUUCGUGGACCGAAACCUCGGCGUCCGAGUGGAACGGGAGUUCCAGCACUUUCUCGAAGAUGUGGGGGAGUCUACGGAGCUUCUUGGUUGACAAAUUCGAUGGGAUGCUGUAACGCAAUGAAAUGUUGCGUUUCUUGGGUAAUGGGUGGAUUU
RNAcentral lists this long non-coding RNA (262 nucleotides) under Daucus carota (carrot). Its description in RNAcentral is "long non-coding RNA (DCAR_LNC002570)". Lineage: Eukaryota; Viridiplantae; Streptophyta; Magnoliopsida; Apiales; Apiaceae. The record is from RNAcentral.